This 368-nucleotide unclassified non-coding RNA is filed under the name fungal sp. RNAcentral's name for it is "partial internal transcribed spacer region". The stretch from base 1 to 46 matches the Rfam family "Eukaryotic small subunit ribosomal RNA", at positions 1786 to 1831 of the family's 1831-position model. Lineage: Eukaryota; Fungi. The record is from RNAcentral.
AAGUCGUAACAAGGUUUCCGUAGGUGAACCUGCGGAAGGAUCAUUAACACGUAUCCAACGUUAAACCCCCCGUGAACCUUCAGUGCGCUCGCACUUUCUUAGAAAAGGUAGCAAUCCCUGGUAAAUCAUUGCCGAACAGUUUUGAUUCAGGGACUUCUGCGUAGACUGUGCUUGAGCGUGAGGCAAGUGGCCUGGCAUUCCUCUGCUUGUUGGUGUCUGAAAGUGUCACCAGCUCUGUACGAAUGGCGCAGUCACGAUCGCUAGAGGCCGACACGGCCGGCGACCGGUCACCCCUCGUGAAAACGGGCCUGCGCUUAAUUGUGCGGCCACCAAACGAACAACUGUUAACAAUGGAUAUCUUGGUUCUC